AUGAUAAAACUUGAUUCUUCCAAUUACUCAUUAUGGAAGCCCAUGGUGGAAGAUAUCCUUUAUUGCAAGGAUUUGUAUCAGCCAAUUGUGAAAGAUAAGAUACCCACCGGUGUCACAGAAGAAGAAUGGAGAGUGUUGCACAGAAAGGCAGUAGUUAUGAUUCGGUUGUACAUCAACCAUAAUAUUUUCCAUCAUGUUGUAAAUGACACAAAUGCUUAUGAGAUGUGGCAGAAGUUGGAGUCUAUGUAUGAGAGGAAUACAUCAAUGAACAAGGCCUCGGUGAUCAAAAGACCUGCAAAGCUUGAGUACCGAGAUGGCACAAGUGUGAUUGAGCACUUGGAUGUCUUCUAA
Molecule: ribosomal RNA, 351 nt
Filed under: Triticum aestivum (bread wheat)
Lineage: Eukaryota; Viridiplantae; Streptophyta; Magnoliopsida; Poales; Poaceae
Description: partial small subunit ribosomal RNA
Source: RNAcentral